Molecule: long non-coding RNA, 217 nt
Filed under: Elaeis guineensis (African oil palm)
Lineage: Eukaryota; Viridiplantae; Streptophyta; Magnoliopsida; Arecales; Arecaceae
Description: long non-coding RNA (EGUI_LNC055639)
Source: RNAcentral
CCAUAUAGUGUUGGGUUCCAGUCACAUAACGAAAAGUAAUUUUUAAAAAUUUUAAAAUCAUACAAAUCAAUAGCUCUAUCAAAUAAAACAAUCGAGCUGGAAUCCAAACCCUAGAAUCACCUCGCCAAUAUCGAUAAAACAAAAACAAGCAUGCAAAAAGGGAUAGAAUUUUAUACUUUCAUCAAAAUAAAAAAGUGACAUGUUGGUGUUCUCCACA